UCACCUCAUAAUGCUGCCCACACUAGAAAUCACUUUUCUAGCUUCCUGAGCUGGUUUUAGGAGUGAGUUCCCCACAUAUAGGGCUUUGCAAAUUCUGCUUCUCUGCAAGCAAGGCCUGCCUCUCUUAUUGUGCUUCCACUCACACAUACCUGUUACUGCACUUCUGCCUCAAGCAUCACGUCUCUGAUUUCCUCCUCUCCUCCUCUCAUCCUCUGUGGGCUCUUCUGUGUUGCCGUUGUAUGGAAACUGGAAUCUCUUCCUUCCUGGGAGAGAUUAUAUUGCUGUAGCUUUACUCUUUAUCUUGUCUGUUUAGUUUAUAAAUGUAAUGGAAAAAAAAAAGGAUCUUUGUUCUGUUGAUGCUAAGUGAUAAAAUAAUAGUGUAGUUCAAUGUAUUAGUUUCAGCAUAGCAUUUUUACAUUUGUUCAGUUUCCUAUCACAGAUGAACAGUUUCACAGCAGUCAGAUAGAAAGCUGCGGGAUUUUUAUGGCUGUAUCAAGUGAUAUCCUCAGUAAACCUCCUUCCUAAUUCCACUGCUUAAAUAGUUUAAAAGAAGAAAUUCAUCAUGAGUACCAUUCCUAUUCCCCUGCUUUCAUCCUCCUUCCUGAACAACUAUGCUAUUUCUUUCCUCUGCAAAUACCAUCUACUUUAUAUUUGGUCUUGGCUCACUCAACUCUGAUACCUCUUUCUCCUUACAGAAACCCACUUUACCAAAUAGUGUGACAUUUCUGAUGCCAUUAGAGUUACUCCAGACUCUUCAGAUAUGUAGAUCUAUACUGGAUGGAGGCAUCUCCAGGGGGCUAUGCAAGAUAUCACUGCAGUAGAGCAAAUCAUUAUUUUCUCUCCAAUGACAGUUUCAAAAAUGACAAACCCAAAGAUCACUUUAGACUGUGCAAUGGCUUUUGAGAAAAAACAUAUUACAGGCUAUCUGACAGCUAUCUUAACUUGAACUGCCAGGAUUCAUUUUUCUCAGAACAUCUCAAGUAAGUGUAUCACAAAGUUGUUCAUUUAAUGUAAGUGUACCUCUGGGCUUAAAAGCAAAUCCAACCUGAAAACAGUAUUCAUGAAUCAUAGUCCACAGACAUCUGUGCCAACAGUGAGGCAAAGUCAAACAAAAAUAUACUUGCAAGCUCUCUCCUUACCUCUAAUUCAUAUAAUUUAACUUAUGUUUACUGCAGUUGUAAUGUAUGUAGUAAAUCAUGUUAAAAGAUGCCUAUGGAACUCAUUUUCUAAAACAAUUAGAGCUGAAUAUUUCAUUCAGUAUAUUUUGCUGUGUCAUUUC
This 1279-nucleotide long non-coding RNA is filed under the name Dromaius novaehollandiae (emu). RNAcentral describes it as "lncRNA (ENSDNVG00000018209.1)". The record is from RNAcentral. Lineage: Eukaryota; Metazoa; Chordata; Aves; Casuariiformes; Dromaiidae.